Molecule: long non-coding RNA, 1533 nt
Organism: Aegilops tauschii subsp. strangulata
Lineage: Eukaryota; Viridiplantae; Streptophyta; Magnoliopsida; Poales; Poaceae
Source: RefSeq, a predicted model, not a curated record
UACAUUUACUCUGCAUCUUUAGUAUAUAUCUUGAUUUAUUUUUUCAGAAAAGAAAGUUUCAGAUUUAUUUGCAAGAAAUACAUAAGCAAUGGUUAUUGGGUUCAUUUUUUUUCUAAUUUGCAAAAGUCUGAAUGUUCCCUUUGCCUAAAUGCCUGAUUUCCAUGCUUAAUUUUCUAGUACACCAUCCCAUGCUUAUUUUCCCCCAUUAAUCUUUUGCAGCAAAAAAAUGUCGGAUGAAGGCAGUUGUGCGGCGGACACGGGUGAUGAGAAACUUCUAACUGAUAGCGAGGAUUCAGCUCAGAGUGGUGUCCGCCCAUUGCCGCAAGCACCAACUUCCUGUAUGUCUAUCAAGCAUGUUGUCGAGGCCAUUCAGACUUUCAACGAGUACAAGCGAUUUCUUGUUAAGAGCAUUGGGUUUGGUGGAAUGCUUGAUCUCCAAAUGCUGCAGAAAUUAAAUCUUAAAUUCAGCGCCUGGACAAUGAGCAAAGUAAGCACCACCUACGGGCCAUCGUCCUGGCUGAGAACAAAAUGCUGCCACUAGUCAACUAUACAUCGACCUCCCACACGAUGCUGCAACAACUGUUUUCGGCCAGAGGAGUAAUGAUCUUCCCGGUCGCAAGUAUGUAUCUCGUCUUGGAUUCCAGACAGACCCCUGGUGCAGGGGAGUUGUCCCGUACCCAUCACAAGCUGGUGUUGCUCAACUAAUUGAACAUCACUUCAUGACCGUUGUAGAUAGCGAGCUAGCGGGGAACUUUAUUGUUCACGAGGAGCCAAGAUUUAUUAGUAUCACGGGUUUUGUCAUACGCGGUCAGCUCGUUGGCAACAACAUAAUUGGUCAUGAACUGAUGUCCAUUCUUUCCGUCGGUUUGCUCAACUUGAUUAUCAAGCCGAGUCCGAGAACCCGUACUUAAGCUGGAGGCACCCAAUUGAACCUGAAUUCUCCGGAAGCUUCUUAGUUCACUACCCGUGACAUCUUCCACCAUUCUUCCAGAUGUAUUAUUUGAAUUCAGUUUUCACUUUAUUCCAUUUUUUGUUUACCAUGCGCCUCGAUGUGCAAGCAGACUCUUGUGUUGUCUGAUUCCGACUUCUUGCACACGGUGUCGAUCCAGAAGUAGCUCUCUGCUGAUUCUCUGAAGUAUGAUCUAACAUCGUCCCAAAUGUUCAUCACUGCAGUCCUUAAUCAAUGUCCUUGAUCCUCUGUAUCACAAAAAUGCAUCGGCUCUUACGCAUAAGGAUCGCGAUCAAGCAACUGCUUGGAAGCUCCACAGUGCAUUAUUCGCAUGCCUCCAUGAAUUCUAUGGCGGAUGGCCAUCGGUCAAGGAAAACUGGCGGAUGAAGCAUGGACCUAUGACAGAUGCCAUAUUUUCCUCGUAAGUGACAACAAGACGUCACUAAUACCCUCAGCUCAAUCAUUAUGUUUUCAAUCUGAACCAUAUGUUUUUUCGCAUUAUUUUCAGCGCUGAGUCAGGUGCAUGCGCCAUACACAUUGCUCGACAGUUUGAUGGGGAGAAGCUUAAUUAAGUUAACACUUAC